Molecule: long non-coding RNA, 760 nt
Filed under: Monodelphis domestica (gray short-tailed opossum)
Lineage: Eukaryota; Metazoa; Chordata; Mammalia; Didelphimorphia; Didelphidae
Description: lncRNA (ENSMODG00000032569.2)
Source: RNAcentral
ACCUGGGGGAUCUAUCUACUUGUCUUUUUUGUUUGUUUCUUUUAAAUUUUGAUAACCGUAUCAUGACAUAAUUUUUUUGUGUGUAAUUCUAUGCAUUUUAUUUUAUGCAACUAAAAACUAGAUUCUGAGAAAGGGCCUAUCAGCUUCACUAAACUGCCAAAAGGGUCCAGAAUAUAAAAAAAGAUGAAGAACCCCUGAGUCAACAGAUGAUCUUCCAAGGUCUCUUCUGGGUCUGGAAUUUGAUGAUUCUCUGAUUAGGUGACAUCAUAAAGGCUUCUACACCAGCCUCUGCUAGACAGCAGGUAAGUGGAGCUCAGUGGUAAGACAAAGGAGAUUUUUUUAUGUCCAAGAGAAAAGUUAUCUAGAUUCUAAAUAUAUCAAUUGUUUCUUCAUUCAUUUCUCUAAACUAGUCAACUCUAGUCCCUAAUUGACUGGACCUUCCCUUCUCCAGGGCUCAGACUCUUCUCCUAUAAAACUGAAGGGAUUGAUUUCUUAAGGCCUUUCCAUCUCUUUGUUUUUUUCAUGAUUGCUUGUGUUCAUCCAGGAGAUGAUCAAGUGUUAGGAAGACAAGCCUGAAAGAAGACUGUGCUGAAAAAAAAGUCACCCUCAUCCCUAGAGGCAGAGACUGGCAGAGUUGAUGCUCUAAGUUCUGAUGAGGAUGAAGAUACCAACAACCCUUCAGGACAAAACACAAAAGCUUCUGUCUUCUUCCUCCCUGCUCCCUGGUCUAUUUAGGCCUCCAAAGCAAGUUAACCAAGUU